AUACGGAGGGGGCUAGCGUUGUUCGGAAUUACUGGGCGUAAAGCGUACGUAGGCGGACUGAUCAGUUGGGGGUGAAAUCCCAGGGCUUAACCCUGGAACUGCCUUCAAUACUGUCAGUCUUGAGAUUGGAAGAGGUGAGUGGAAUUCCUAGUGUAGAGGUGAAAUUCAUAGAUAUUAGGAGGAACACCAGUGGCGAAGGCGGCUCACUGGUCCAAUACUGACGCUCAGGUACGAAAGCAUGGGGAGCAAACAGGAUUAGAUACCCUAGUAGUCC
This 274-nucleotide ribosomal RNA is filed under the name uncultured bacterium. RNAcentral describes it as "partial 16S ribosomal RNA". It matches the Rfam family "Bacterial small subunit ribosomal RNA", at positions 523 to 796 of the family's 1533-position model. The record is from RNAcentral.